UAAAGCGUGCGCAGGCGGUUUUGUAAGACUGUCGUGAAAUCCCCGGGCUCAACCUGGGAAUGGCGAUGGUGACUGCAAGGCUAGAGUUUGGCAGAGGGGGGUAGAAUUCCACGUGUAGCAGUGAAAUGCGUAGAUAUGUGGAGGAACACCGAUGGCGAAGGCAGCCCCCUGGGUCAAAACUGACGCUCAUGCACGAAAGCGUGGGGAGCAAACAGGAUUAGUACCCUUGU
This 230-nucleotide ribosomal RNA is filed under the name uncultured bacterium. RNAcentral describes it as "partial 16S ribosomal RNA". It matches the Rfam family "Bacterial small subunit ribosomal RNA", at positions 561 to 791 of the family's 1533-position model. The record is from RNAcentral.